AGAGAUCUGGAAGAUCACCUUAAACAAGUGAUCAAACUUAGCAUUAUGAGCCACCUGCAAUCACGAGGCAGGAAGGAUAUAUCACCUAUGCAGUAUUUUUCCCAAAAAUGCUUACCUUGAAUCUCAUCAUGUGGAAACAGACAAAUCCAGAUUAUGGGACAAUUUACAAAACAACUAUCUUUGACUCUUAAAAAAUGCCAUGUCAUGAAAGAUCAAAAAAAGUAGAGGAAUGUUUUAGAUUAAAGGAAAUGAAGACAUGACAUGCAGUGCCUAAUCUUUGAUUGGAUUCUGUGCUAUUCUUUCAUCUUUCUGGUAUGUUUGAAUUUUUUUUGAAAUAUAAACUUGGGCAAAAGAGAUAACCAAGAUAAUUGAUUAAUUUAUUGUUAUGGCUCAUUGGGGGCAGUUUCAGAGAAAUAAAAACAAUCUUUGUAACUGGAGUAAAUUCU
Homo sapiens (human) is the source of this 446-nucleotide long non-coding RNA. NCBI's taxonomy places the organism in Eukaryota, Metazoa, Chordata, Mammalia, Primates, Hominidae. The record is from Ensembl.